GCCCCAUCACGUAAGUGCCAUCUCCAUACUGGAAUUGUUGACAGUGUCUGAUGGAGGAUUUCACCCUGGGUACUCAGUACCAGCAAUGGAUGAAAUACCAGAAGGGAGGCUCCAGGGCUUCCAUAGAAGACACAUUCUAAAGUUGCUCAGGUGAUCAAAUGGUCAUCUCAUAGAUUUUCAGCAGGACUGCAGCAUUUUGUGAAUACCUGAGUGAAUGCAGAAAGUAUCCAGACGCAUGGGCAUUCUAGGAAGCUCCCUGUGUAAAUCAAAUACAAGGAAUAUCUACUUCUGGGCUCAAAAGCUAACUUAGAAAAUAAAAAAAGUGAGAUGCUGGCAGAAGGCAAAUAACUCCACUUCAGUUCCUGAGAGAAAAAUGGUUCUGUAACCUCUGAGUUUAUUUAGAAAAAGUUUGGAGCCUCAGGAAGACCAAGUAUAUCAUUCCUGAUGUUUCCAGGGCAGAUUGGACUGCUAAGGCCUCUGGGACUAUUCUAAGUCCUCUCAGGUUUCCAUGGGAGACCAUAACUCUACUCCUAGAGCUCACACCACCCCCGAGCAAGCUCAUUGUUUUCCAAAUAUUCCAAGGAAGUCCAUCCAGGGUAUGCCUGUAUUGGUGAGUUUCACCUUGGACUGGCAGGAGAACUCUGAGAAUGAUACAUCCUGACUUCACUUGAUCAAGGUAGGGGAGCCAAGAAGUCCAGAUCUGGAGAGCACCUGAAACACUAGAUGGCAGAAGGACAGUAAGGAGGUGAAGUCAGCUAUGGAGGUGGAGCUUCAUGUUUACUGCAUGUAGGAUUCUGAGUUCCAGGACUGAUGGGCUGGUGGGGAUGAGAUACAUGUCUUCUUUGCAGGGAGCCAGGCCAAAACCAGCCAUCUGGUUGCACUACUGAAAGCUUUUGUGUGCCCAGUGGUAGGCAAGACACAAGCCAAACUCUCUUCACCUCUGGCUGGUAGUCCUUGACUAGAGAGGUUUGCACACAAGUGGUCCUAUUAGCCCAUGCUCUCCUGUGGCUUGCUUUCCUUUCACCUGUUUCUCAUGUUUGCCGUCAUGGAACACAUUUCAUAGUGAAAUUCUUUGACUCUGACUCCAAAUUACACAAGGAGGACCCAAUUUGUGAACUUUUCAUAUAUUUAGGAGAAUCUCCACAUUGAUUUUUGUAUCCUUAUGUUCAUAUUGUCACCAGUAUUCAAAUUCUUACUAUUUAGGUCAUUGCGUUCACUAUCAUAAUUAUUAAAUAUUUUUCAGUUAUCAUUUAUUUUUAUUGGUUAAUUUUUGUGGCAGCUGUUAUAUAACAAUCACUAGAGUUUCUCUAUUCAUGAAAGAUGUCCACGUUAAUGGAGGUAACUAGGAGUGUUACUUUACAGGUAUGUAAACACAGAUAAUUUUGGCUGAACUGUGGCUAUAUUGUCUGGUGUCCCUUUGAAGGUGAAGCCUCUUGUGUUAUUCUAAGUGACCUCUGGAGACAGAAACUGUCUCAUAAUUGCAGGGAUGACUUGAGAAGGCAUCCUGAGCCUGUGCAGAAAUGCAGAAGCACUUCCAUGAUCUAAGCAACCUAUGUUAAGGCCUGAAAGCCAAAGCAAAGCUGUCCAACAAAAAGUUUUCCUAGUAACACUGGAGGUCCAUCAGUCACUCCUCCUGGUCUGGAAACGCCAGAAAUGUCCUCCGUGGUUCUUGUGAGGGUCCAGAUCUUUUCAAAAUCACCUCAGGAGCCACAGAACCACUCCAUCCUACCUGAAAUUGCAGAAUGACUCUUCUUUUGACCAGAGUCUCAAAAAUAUAUUCAUUGAUAGUUUUGGUUCCUGGGAGCCGCCAUUGCUUGCAAAAGAUGUGCCAGAGACUAGACAUUUUCUGUUUCCUCACUUGUCCGGGGAAGACUGAAGUUUUUCUGGAACACAGAAAUGGGAAUCUGACCCUCUGAGCAGCCUCAGAAUUUUCUAAGUCUUCCAAGCAGAGUGGAAGUUCUGGUGAGGACCCAUUGUACCCCCGAUGGUCUGGAAUCACAUAGGAUGAUGCGUUUAAACAACUCUAGGUGGAGAUAUAUUUUCUGAGAUAUUCCAAGGAGGAGGGACGCAACUGGACCAGAUGUUAAAAGGGCAGCUGAGCAUUAAGUGCCUAUGUAGUGUUUGCAGCUUAAUGUCCCAUGCAGAAGGGGACUCUGGGCUCUUGUGUUAGAAUUCAGUGUAAUUCCUGCUUUUCUUCCAGGAAAUCCCACUUCCAUCUGGAUGUCUGGAUGAACUACUGAAAGCCACUGAGUGUCCUGCAGUAGGUGAACUGUGGCCAGAGCCCAAGGAUGAAGGGGGCUCCUUCUGUCUGUGACUGUGAAGAGGAAGCCUGAGGUAUAGCAGACCCAGGCCCCAGAAGGAUGGAAAAAAUGAGGGUUGGACCCAAGAUUCUGUACUUCUAUGGAGCCCUGUGUUCUGCCCAGGUGUCAUUUACUCUCAGGCUCUUGAUUCUAUAUCCGAGUGAAAUGACUUGCCAGUGGGGAACAAGAUAAGUCUUUGCAGGAAGCGCUCUGGUGGGAGCUAGAUACUCAAAUCAUAAAGCAUCGAGUGUUGGAAACAUGCACUGAAGUUAGACGAAAUACUCAAUGCACAGUUUAGACGGUGAAAGACUUUCAGGUAAUCAUGCAAUCACCGACCGGCUGAUUGAUGACAUUCCCCGAAUUUAUGAUUGCAAGAAGAGACAAAUACUCAUGACAUUCUAUUUCCGGUGGUUGGGGACAUACGAUGGCAACAUACUGUCUGCCAGUCAUGCUCAUCACACUGUACUUUGCACACACGUCACACAGAGACACAGUUAAUACGCACAUUUGUGUGCUUGAGCAGGGUUGCGCUCAAGAUUCUGUGGUUGUACGGAGCCCUGAGUUAUGCCCUGGACAUCUUUACUCUCGGGUUGGUCAACUUGGAUCACUGUACCGAACGAGAAACGGAGCCUGAAAUCCAAUCAGCGAAUACACAAAAGGAAGGGGCCAUUUCCCACAAUCAUUUGCACUGCAACACCACCUCGGAU
This is a non-coding RNA of Chlorocebus sabaeus (green monkey), 3007 nucleotides long. NCBI's taxonomy places the organism in Eukaryota, Metazoa, Chordata, Mammalia, Primates, Cercopithecidae. The record is from RefSeq and is a predicted model, not a curated record.